CGUCCCUCGUAGAUUCAAAAUGGUGGCUCACGUAGGAGAUAGUUUUUGCAAGAGGUUUAUUUUAUAUUCAUAGAUUUUGUAACAAAAAUCAAGCCAAAAGUAUGAGUUCCCGAAGAUGGUUUUGGCCCACAAUCAGUGGGAUAGAGGCUGAGAGAGUAUUAAUGGAAAGAGGAGUUGAUUGCAGUUUCUUGGCAAGACCUAGUUCAAAUAAUCCAGGAUCGUUCACGUUAUCAGUCAAGAGAAAUGGAGAGGUUACCCACAUCAAAAUUCAAAAUUCUGGAGACUUCUAUGACCUGUAUGGCGGCGAGAAAUUUGCAACACUCUCAGAGCUGGUACAGUAUUAUAUGGAAAAUCAGGGACAACUUAGGGAGAAGAAUGGGGAAAUUAUCGAACUUAAGUAUCCCUUGAGCUGCGCUGACCCCACAACUGAGAGAUGGUUUCAUGGGCAUCUGUCCGGGAAGGAAGCAGAAAAAUUAAUUUUAGAGCGAGGUAAAAAUGGAAGCUUUUUAGUGAGAGAAAGUCAAUCGAAGCCUGGAGAUUUUGUUCUUUCUGUUCGAACCGACGAUAAAAUGACUCAUGUAAUGAUUAGAUAUUCCGAUAACCAAUAUGAUGUUGGUGGUGGAGAGAAAUUCGAUAGUUUGGCUGAACUAAUCGAGUAUUACAAAAAGAAUCCGAUGGUUGAAACUUCAGGAACAGUCGUCCACCUAAAACAGCCUUUUAAUGCAACUAGAAUCAGCGCGUCGGGGAUACACUCGCGAGUCAAACAGCUGCAAAACGAAAACGGACCUAAUGGUAUGGGCAAAGCUGGGUUUUGGGAGGAAUUCGAAUCGUUGCAACAGCAGGAGUUCAAACAUUUGUAUUCUCGGAAAGAGGGAGUUAAACCGGAGAAUAGGAACAAAAAUAGRUACAAGAACAUAUUGCCUUUUGACGAUACACGAGUUAAAUUGAAAGACGCUGAUCCCAACGUCCCCGGUUCUGAUUACAUCAACGCAAAUUAUAUUAAGUGGAAAGCUGAUUAUUGCGGAGGGAACGAAUUAGGUAGCGAUCCGAGCGGAAAAGUGUACAUUGCAACCCAAGGCUGUUUACCUUCCACGAUCGCCGAUUUUUGGCAAAUGGUGUGGCAGGAGAACUGUAGAGUUAUAGUAAUGACAACCAAAGAGACUGAACGAGGCAAAACGAAGUGUGCCAGGUAUUGGCCGGAUCAGGGAACAAAAGAUUACAGAAAAAUCAAAGUGAAGAUAUUGAUGGAGUCGUCGACUCCGCAUUACACCCUUAGAGAGUUUCUAGUUAGCAUGGAUGGAACGAAUUGUGAGAGAAAAGUUUACCAGUACCAUUUUCAGGCAUGGCCGGAUCAUGGCGUGCCUUCAGACCCAGGCUGUGUUUUAAAUUUUUUGCAUGAGGUUAAUAAGAGACAGGAAAGCCUUCAGCAAGAGCUUCCAGAUAAUCCCCCAGGUGCUAUUCUAGUGCAUUGUUCUGCUGGUAUUGGAAGGACUGGCACUUUUAUUGUUAUUGAUAUGAUUUUGGACCAGCUUAAAAAAUACGGUUUAGACUGUGAAAUAGAUAUACAACGCACAAUUCAAAUGGUUAGGUCCCAACGUUCUGGGAUGGUACAGACUGAAGCCCAAUAUAAAUUUGUUUAUUUAGCAGUACAACAUCAUAUAGAGACAACCACUGAAAGAAUGAAGGCUGAACAAAAAUCUAUGCAAAUAGGUCGGGAGUACACAAACAUUAAGUAUAGCAGCGACAUAGGCAGCACGUUAUCCUCGUCGGCGACGAGCGGUUUGGGGAGUACAACCUCACUGUCUAGCAGGUCUUCCACUUUGGCCCACUUCCCGGUCUCAUCUCCCAAUUCUGUGAUUUUAAGAGGCGAAACAAAGAAGCCACCUCGAGCUGUGUCAGAUAUUCCAUUGCCCAGGUGGUGUUGUUUCCAGGCUCAUUUUAGAUGUUGAGUGUCAUGUGUAGUAUAGUAGAACCGUAUUAAUUGACGACUUUGUUCGACGGUGGCGCCGCGCCGGUUCRCAAAAUUUGCCGCCUGAUGAUUUGGUCAAGCCUACUGUGUAUGAGAACAUUCCUGUCAGCGAACGAAAACAUUCAGGGACGUCGAGCUCUUUGAAUUGUCCUGUGCCGCCGCCACGGAAGGCGACGUGACAUAAACGAACUUUUAAUUCCAAAUUUACUUCAUGUACCUUCUCAGUGUGCUAGGAAAAUUAUCAAGUCAAAUUAUUUACUAAAAGAUGCAUUGUUCAAGAGCCUAGUUGAUGUAUCAUUGUUAAGAAAAUGCCAGUAUUUACAACCUUGAAGAGAUCGUUAGUGUUACUUGCCCACCGAAGUACCCUUUAAGUAACACAGUCCCAAAUCGGAUAAAAUUAUUUUUAGAGCACAAUUGUAUAUAUUCAAUAUAAUUAUACCACCAUACGUAUGUUUAUCUUGAAUAUCUUGGAUUAACACACGUAUUUUUAAUUUGUAAUUAUUGCCAUUGAUUUGAUUUUGUUAUGCUUUGUCGCCUAAAAUGCUAAAAAAAAUUCCAGUAGAUUUUAAUAGUAAGUAUUUUAGGCAUGUGCUUUUUAUUUUAUUUCCAAAGAUCUGAAAAGAGAGUUUAAACUUAGUUGGCAAGUCACUUGGUGAUUUUUCGUGAUUAAUUUUAAUUUUAAGUAAAUUUGUGUAUUUUUAUAUUUUUGCUAAAUUAUUUAUAUUCAAAGCACACUUAGUGAUAUAACACCUCGUUAAUACAGGUGGGGUGCUAUUUAUGUUUAUUUUUACCACCUGUAUUAAAUACAGAUUCGACAAUAUAUCUUAUAUUUAAAUAGAUAUUUGCAUAAAAUAUUUUAAAAACAGUUUUUUUUAUCUGUUUUACAACAAACUAGUGCUAUGUUUUGCUUUUUCUGUUAUCAUAAGAAUUAUACCGUUUUAGUCAGAUUAAAGGUUUUGUCAACUUUCUGUCGUCUACAAUAUAUGUUUAGAAAGUU
Tribolium madens (black flour beetle) is the source of this 2966-nucleotide RNA transcript. It is a transcript of the gene named tyrosine-protein phosphatase non-receptor type 11, with no coding region annotated. Lineage: Eukaryota; Metazoa; Arthropoda; Insecta; Coleoptera; Tenebrionidae. The transcript has 11 exons. The record is from RefSeq and is a predicted model, not a curated record.